CCCCUAGAUGUUCUGGGCCGCACGCGCGCUACACUGAACAGUUCAACAAGUCUUAACCUUGGCCGAUAGGUCUGGGUAAUCUUUGAACGCUGUUCGUGAUUGGGAUAGACCUUUGCAAUUAUGGGUCUUCAACGAGGAAUUCCUAGUAAGCAUGUGUCAUCAGCCCGUGCUGAUUACGUCCCUGCCCUUUGUACACACCGCCCGUCGCUCCUACCGAUUGAGUGGUCCGGUGAAUUAUUCGGACUGCAACGCGUUCAGCUUCUGGAUGCAGUUGCGGAAAGUUUUGUAAACCUUAUCACUUAGAGGAAGGAGAAGUCGUAACA
This 323-nucleotide ribosomal RNA is filed under the name uncultured eukaryote. Its description in RNAcentral is "partial 18S ribosomal RNA". It matches the Rfam family "Eukaryotic small subunit ribosomal RNA", at positions 1470 to 1796 of the family's 1831-position model. The record is from RNAcentral.